AUCGCUCGACGUGGGGAACUGCGA
RNAcentral lists this non-coding RNA (24 nucleotides) under Arabidopsis thaliana (thale cress). The record is from RNAcentral. Lineage: Eukaryota; Viridiplantae; Streptophyta; Magnoliopsida; Brassicales; Brassicaceae.